GCACCAUUGAUUUGAUUGAUAUUGACAGGUGAGUCAGACAGGUUAGCACCAUUGAUUUGAUUGAUAUUGACAGGUGAGUCAGACAGGUUAGCACCAUUGAUUUGAUUGAUAUUGACAGGUGAGUCAGACAGGUUAGCACCAUUGAUUUGAUUGAUAUUGACAGGUGAGUCAGACAGGUUAGCACCAUUGAUUUGAUUGAUAUUGACAGGUGAGUCAGACAGGUUAGCACCAUUGAUUUGAUUGAUAUUGACAGGUGAGUCAGACAGGUUAGCACCAUUGAUUUGAUUGAUAUUGACAGGUGAGUCAGACAGGUUAGCACCAUUGAUUUGAUUGAUAUUGACAGGUGAGUCAGACAGGUUAGCACCAUUGAUUUGAUUGAUAUUGACAGGUGAGUCAGACAGGUUAGCACCAUUGAUUUGAUUGAUAUUGACAGGUGAGUCAGACAGGUUAGCACCAUUGAUUUGAUUGAUAUUGACAGGUGAGUCAGACAGGUUAGCACCAUUGAUUUGAUUGAUAUU
Oncorhynchus keta (chum salmon) is the source of this 518-nucleotide long non-coding RNA. RefSeq lists it as uncharacterized. The record is from RefSeq and is a predicted model, not a curated record. Lineage: Eukaryota; Metazoa; Chordata; Actinopteri; Salmoniformes; Salmonidae. The transcript is spliced from 3 exons.